ACUUACCAACCCGAUGCAAACUACGAAUACCGAAGAAUGUUAUCACGGGAGACACACGGCGGGUGCUAACGUCCGUCGUGAAGAGGGAAACAACCCAGACCGCCAGCUAAGGUCCCAAAGUCAUGGUUAAGUGGGAAACGAUGUGGGAAGGCACAGACAGCCAGGAUGUUGGCUUAGAAGCAGCCAUCAUUUAAAGAAAGCGUAAUAGCUCACUGGUCGAGUCGGCCUGCGCGGAAGAUGUAACGGGGCUAAACCAUGCACCGAAGCUGCGGCAGCGACACUAUGUGUUGUUGGGUAGGGGAGCGUUCUGUAAGCCGUUGAAGGUGGCCUGUGAGGGUUGCUGGAGGUAUCAGAAGUGCGAAUGCUGACAUAAGUAACGAUAAAGCGGGUGAAAAGCCCGCUCGCCGGAAGACCAAGGGUUCCUGUCCAACGUUAAUCGGGGCAGGGUGAGUCGACCCCUAAGGCGAGGCCGAAAGGCGUAGUCGAUGGGAAACAGGUUAAUAUUCCUG
Molecule: ribosomal RNA, 509 nt
Filed under: Klebsiella ornithinolytica
Lineage: Bacteria; Pseudomonadati; Pseudomonadota; Gammaproteobacteria; Enterobacterales; Enterobacteriaceae
Description: Raoultella ornithinolytica partial 23S ribosomal RNA
Rfam family: Bacterial large subunit ribosomal RNA
Source: RNAcentral